AAGAGACAGCAGCCGCCGCGGUAAUACGAAGGGGGCUAGCGUUGCUCGGAAUCACUGGGCGUAAAGGGUGCGUAGGCGGGUCUUUAAGUCAGGGGUGAAAUCCUGGAGCUCAACUCCAGAACUGCCUUUGAUACUGAAGAUCUUGAGUUCGGGAGAGGUGAGUGGAACUGCGAGUGUAGAGGUGAAAUUCGUAGAUAUUCGCAAGGACACCAGUGGCGAAGGCGGCUCACUGGCCCGAUACUGACGCUGAGGCACGAAAGCGUGGGGAGCAAACAGGAUUAGAUACCCCUGUAGUCCCUGUCUCUUAUAC
Molecule: ribosomal RNA, 310 nt
Filed under: uncultured bacterium
Lineage: Bacteria
Description: partial 16S ribosomal RNA
Rfam family: Bacterial small subunit ribosomal RNA
Source: RNAcentral